Molecule: long non-coding RNA, 1119 nt
Filed under: Equus caballus (horse)
Lineage: Eukaryota; Metazoa; Chordata; Mammalia; Perissodactyla; Equidae
Description: lncRNA (ENSECAG00000048003.1)
Source: RNAcentral
CCCAUGUACAUAGCAUUUCACCGCGCUGCCUAAAUUGCAGAAAGCGGGUGCGAGACCCUCAGCCGGCAGCCCCAGAGGGUCGGGAGCCGGAGGAGGGAAGCGCGUCAUCAGCGGAGGCUUUCGGAGGCGCCAUCAUAUCCUUUGGAAAUCCGGACUUCUUGUGAAGUGGCAAUCAUGCGACAAACGCACACCACCUGACUUCUCAGACUGGUCCCCAUCUAGGCAGCAGCCUCCUGGCCUUUAUUUCUUUUCAACAAACAAAGUGGUCACGAAGGGAGUGGAUUAUGACGCCAUCCUAGCCUGCAGGGGUGAAGAGGAACAGUACAAGGCCCAAUUACAGCCAUCAGUGACUGAGCAGGACCCUGGACAAUCAGAGAAUUGGAUGAAGCAGGUCCAGCUGUAGCACCCAGGUGUGAUUCUGAUGCGCACUCGUUCGCCAGGUGAACGGGGGAAAAAUUGGUCCAGGCAGGAGGAACAGCACCGACAAUGGCUUGGGAGUCCUCCGUAGCCUUCAAGCACUGGGGUUGCAGUUCAGAAACUGUUGGCUCUGGGAGGAGAGGGCUCCUGUCCAUACAGUUUAUCACCCGGAGCCUGGAACACAGCAGGGCCUCAUAAAUACUUGUUAAUACGCUGGCUCCCCAAAUAGAAGUGAGUAGAAAGUCAAAGGGAAAAACGAAAGAUUCAGAGGAGGAAAAAAAAAAGGUGUUUCUAAGGGGAUGAAAACUUUCCAAAAAGUUGUUCUGGAAUAGGCAGCUCUGCCCAAUAGAGGAAUUGGGGAGGUGGCCGCUCCGGGAAAGGGCGAUGAGUCCCGGGAGAGGGCACGAGGCGCCUUCCCGCCUCCCAGGCCGGCCGAAGGCAUGAGGUCACCAGGCGCUCAGCCAGCGACAGCUGCGAGGACGCGCCCGCGCGGCGGCGGGAGGCGGUGUCAGGCUCUGGCCCCCGGGGAAUUUCCCUCCCGCCCCCUCGGGAGGCGUGGCCCGGAGCCCCGCCCACCGCCCGCCGGAGCCCGAGCCUCCUGCCGCCCCGUGAAGGCCACGCCCCAGGCACGGGCACGCCCCCUGGGCCGCCCGAGCGGGCCUUCCUCCGCCCCCGCCCGAGGCCACGCCCCCUGGGCUCCGG